UGGGGAAUAUUGCACAAUGGGCGCAAGCCUGAUGCAGCCAUGCCGCGUGUGUGAAGAAGGCCUUCGGGUUGUAAAGCACUUUCAGCGAGGAGGAAGGUGGUGAGCUUAAUACGCUCAUCAAUUGACGUUACUCGCAGAAGAAGCACCGGCUAACUCCGUGCCAGCAGCCGCGGUAAUACGGAGGGUGCAAGCGUUAAUCGGAAUUACUGGGCGUAAAGCGCACGCAGGCGGUUUGUUAAGUCAGAUGUGAAAUCCCCGGGCUCAACCUGGGAACUGCAUUUGAAACUGGCAAGCUAGAGUCUCGUAGAGGGGGGUAGAAUUCCAGGUGUAGCGGUGAAAUGCGUAGAGAUCUGGAGGAAUACCAGUGGCGAAGGCGGCCCCCUGGACGAAGACUGACGCUCAGGUGCGAAAGCGUGGGGAGCAAAACAGGAUUAGAUACCCUGGUAGUCCACGCUGUAAACGUGUCGAUUUGGAGGUUGUGCCCUUGAGGCGUGGCUUCCAGAGCUAACGCGUUAAAUCGACCGCCUGGGGAGUACGGCCGCAAGGUUAAAACUCAAAGGAAUUGACGGGGUCAUAGCUGUUUCCUG
This 587-nucleotide ribosomal RNA is filed under the name uncultured bacterium. Its description in RNAcentral is "partial 16S ribosomal RNA". It matches the Rfam family "Bacterial small subunit ribosomal RNA", at positions 355 to 1376 of the family's 1533-position model. The record is from RNAcentral.